GACGAACGCUGGCGGCGUGCUUAACACAUGCAAGUCGAACGAAGAGCGAUGGAAGCUUGCUUCUAUCACUCUUAGUGGCGCACGGGUGAGUAACGCGUAAUCAACCUGCCCUUCAGAGGGGGACAACAGUUGGAAACGACUGCUAAUACCGCAUACGAUCUAAUCUCGGCAUCGAGGAUAGAUGAAAGGUGGCCUCUACAUGUAAGCUAUCACUGAAGGAGGGGAUUGCGUCUGAUUAGCUAGUUGGAGGGGUAACGGCCCACCAAGGCGAUGAUCAGUAGCCGGUCUGAGAGGAUGAACGGCCACAUUGGGACUGAGACACGGCCCAGACUCCUACGGGAGGCAGCAGUGGGGAAUCUUCCGCAAUGGACGAAAGUCUGACGGAGCAACGCCGCGUGAGUGAUGACGGCCGUCGGGUUGUAAAGCUCUGUUAAUCGGGACGAAAGGCCUUCUUGCGAAUAGUGAGAAGGAUUGACGGUACCGGAAGAGAAAGCCACGGCUAACUACGUG
This 510-nucleotide ribosomal RNA is filed under the name uncultured bacterium. Its description in RNAcentral is "partial 16S ribosomal RNA". It matches the Rfam family "Bacterial small subunit ribosomal RNA", at positions 28 to 507 of the family's 1533-position model. The record is from RNAcentral.